AAACUAGGAUUAGAUACCCAUGUAAAUAAAUUUUAAAGUAUUAAAUUUUUAAAAUUAAACUAAAAAAAUAUUUGGCGGUAAAAUAAUUAAUUAAAGGGGCUUGAUUAAUUAUAGAAAGUACUCAUUAAAAUAAAAUUUAUUUAUUAAUUUAUUUAUCUCCGUGUAACAUAUAUAUAAAUUUAAUUUUUAUCAAUUUAAUAAUUUUAUACAGGUCAAAAUUUAAUUUAAAAUAAAUAUAAUUUAGCCACAAAAAAGAAAAUAAUAAUUUAAGAAUUUAAAAGUAAAUUUAUUUUUAAAAAAAAUUAUAUUGAAAAAAAAAUUUUAUGUACAUAUUGCCCAUCACUUUCAUUAAUUAAAUGAAAUAAGUCGUAACAUAGUA
RNAcentral lists this ribosomal RNA (379 nucleotides) under Panonychus citri (citrus red mite). RNAcentral's name for it is "partial 12S ribosomal RNA". The record is from RNAcentral. Lineage: Eukaryota; Metazoa; Arthropoda; Arachnida; Trombidiformes; Tetranychidae.